Long non-coding RNA from Poecile atricapillus (Black-capped chickadee), 1172 nucleotides. RefSeq lists it as uncharacterized. The record is from RefSeq and is a predicted model, not a curated record. Lineage: Eukaryota; Metazoa; Chordata; Aves; Passeriformes; Paridae. The transcript has 5 exons.
UUGCCAUUAUUUGGGGGGGGGGGUGUCCCCAACCGCCCCUCCCCCACCCCUGUGACGUCAUUGGGGUCCCCAAGGUCCCAUUUUGGGGUCCCCAAAGCCCCUGGGGGGUCCCCAAGGUCCCAUUUGGGGUCCCCAAGGUCCCAAUUUGGGGUCCCCAAGGCCCCUGGGGGGUCCCCAAGGCCCCCGGGGGGUCCCCAAGGUCCCUGGGGGGUCCCCAAAGCCCCUGGGGGGUCCCCAAGGCCCCAUUUGGGUCCCCAAGGUCCCAUUUUGGGGUCCCCAAGGUCCCAUUUUGGGGGUCCCAUUUUGGGGGUCCCCGGUGUCCCCAGGCCGGGGACGCUCGCGGGGCCGUGAGGAGCACGAGGCCGAGGCGGGGCUGGGUCACAAAUGUCCCCAAAUGUCCCCAGAUGUCCCCAAAUGUCCCCAAAUUCCGUGUUCGGGCUCUCUCGGGGCUCCGUGAGGAACACGAGGCCGUGGUGGGGGACAGGGACGGGUCCUCGAUGUCCCCAAAUGUCCCCAAAUGUCCUCAGUGUCCUCUCAGGGGUCUCUCGGGGGUCGAUGAGGAGGGCGAGGCCGAAGCAGGGAUGGAUCCCAGAUGUCCCCAAUGUCCCCAGGGUCCCCUCAGUGUCCCCAGUGUCCCCUCAGGGGUCAAUGAGGAGCACGAGGCCGAGGUGGGGACGCGGACGGGUCCUCGAUGUCCCCAAGUGUCCCCAAAUGUCCCCUCAGGGGUCGCUCAGGAGUUGAUGAAGAUCACGAGGCCGUGGUGGGGAACAGGGACGGGUCCUCGAUGUCCCCAAAUGUCCCCAAAUGAGUCGAUGAGGAGGCUGAGGCCGAAGCAGGGCUGGAUCCCAGAUGUCCCCAAUGUCCCCCGAUGUCCCCUGAUGUCCCCGAUGUCCCCGGUGUCCCCUCAGGGGUCUCUCAGGGGUCGAUGAGGAGGCUGAGGCCGAAGCAGGGAUGGAUUCUCGGUGUCCCCCGAUUGUCCCCGAUGUCCCCUCAGGGGUCGAUGAGGAGGCUGAGGCCGAAGCAGGGCUGGGUCCCCGGUGUCCCCCGAUGUCCCCGAUGUCCCCUCAGGGGUCGAUGAGGAGGGCGAGGCCGAAGCAGGGCUGGGUCCCCGGUGUCCCCUCGGUGUCCCCGGUGUCCCCAGUGUCCCCUCAGGGGUCGAUGAGGAGGGCGAG